RNAcentral lists this ribosomal RNA (798 nucleotides) under uncultured bacterium. RNAcentral describes it as "bacterial SSU rRNA". It matches the Rfam family "Bacterial small subunit ribosomal RNA", at positions 56 to 849 of the family's 1533-position model. The record is from RNAcentral.
UGCAGUCGAGGGGUAACAGGGAGUGCUUGCACUCUGCUGACGACCGGCGCACGGGUGCGUAACGCGUAUGCAAUCUACCUCUUACUGAGGGAUAGCCCAUGGAAACGUGGAUUAAUACCUCAUAGUAUUAUAAACUGGCCUCAGUUUAUGAUUAAAGGUUACGGUAAGAGAUGAGCAUGCGUCCUAUUAGCUAGAUGGUAAGGUAACGGCUUACCAUGGCUACGAUAGGUAGGGGUCCUGAGAGGGAGAUCCCCCACACUGGUACUGAGACACGGACCAGACUCCUACGGGAGGCAGCAGUGAGGAAUAUUGGACAAUGGGCGAGAGCCUGAUCCAGCCAUGCCGCGGGCAGGAAGACGGCCCUAUGGGUUGUAAACUGCUUUUACAGAGGAAGAACCCUCCUUACGUGUAAGGAGCUGACGGUACUCUAUGAAUAAGGAUCGGCUAACUCCGUGCCAGCAGCCGCGGUAAUACGGAGGAUCCAAGCGUUAUCCGGAAUCAUUGGGUUUAAAGGGUCCGUAGGCGGGUCUAUAAGUCAGUGGUGAAAGUCUGCAGCUUAACUGUAGAACUGCCAUUGAUACUGUAGACCUUGAAUUAGUAUGAAGUGGUUAGAAUGUGUAGUGUAGCGGUGAAAUGCAUAGAUAUUACACAGAAUACCGAUUGCGAAGGCAGAUCACUAAUACUAUAUUGACGCUGAUGGACGAAAGCGUANGUAGCGAACAGGAUUAGAUACCCUGGUAGUCUACGCCGUAAACGAUGGUUACUAGCUGUCCGGCCUAUUUGAGGGCUGGGUGGUUA